ACAUGUGUGGUGAAACGACAUCAUGCUUGCCUUCCAUUAAUCAGUUAGCAAGCGGCCGGGGGUCGACUCCCCGUGCGUGUA
RNAcentral lists this transfer RNA (81 nucleotides) under Sphaerobolus stellatus SS14. Its description in RNAcentral is "tRNA-Gly". Lineage: Eukaryota; Fungi; Basidiomycota; Agaricomycetes; Geastrales; Sphaerobolaceae. The record is from RNAcentral.